GACGAACGCUGGCGGCAUGCCUAAUACAUGCAAGUCGAGCGAACAGAUGAAGUGCUUGCACUUCUGACGUUAGCGGCGAACGGGUGAGUAACACGUAGGGAAUCUACCUAUAAGCGGGGGAUAACAUUCGGAAACGGGUGCUAAUACCGCAUAAUAUCUUCUUCCGCAUGGAAGAAGAUUGAAAGACGGCUCUGCUGUCACUUAUAGAUGACCUUGCGGUGCAUUAGUUAGAUGGUGGGGUAAUGGCCUACCAAGACAAUGAUGCACAGCCGACCUGAGAGGGUGAUCGGCCACAUUGGGACUGAGACACGGCCCAAACUCCUACGGGAGGCAGCAGUAGGGAAUCUUCCGCAAUGGGCGAAAGCCUGACGGAGCAAUGCCGCGUGAGUGAAGAAGGCCUUCGGGUCGUAAAACUCUGUUAUAAGAGAAGAACAAAUUGUAGAGUGACUGCUACAGUCUUGACGGUAUCUUAUCAGAAAGCCACGGCUAACUACGUGCCAGCCGCCGCGGUAA
This 513-nucleotide ribosomal RNA is filed under the name uncultured bacterium. RNAcentral's name for it is "partial 16S ribosomal RNA". It matches the Rfam family "Bacterial small subunit ribosomal RNA", at positions 28 to 523 of the family's 1533-position model. The record is from RNAcentral.